CAGCCGCCGCGGUAAUACGUAGGUGGCAAGCGUUGUCCGGAACUAUUGGGCGUAAAGGGCUCGCAGGCGGUUUCUUAAGUCUGAUGUGAAAGCCCCCGGCUCAACCGGGGAGGGUCAUUGGAAACUGGGAAACUUGAGUGCAGAAGAGGAGAGUGGAAUUCCACGUGUAGCGGUGAAAUGCGUAGAGAUGUGGAGGAACACCAGUGGCGAAGGCGACUCUCUGGUCUGUAACUGACGCUGAGGAGCGAAAGCGUGGGGAGCGAACAGGAUUAGAUACCCCCGUAGUCCCUGUCUCUUAUAC
Molecule: ribosomal RNA, 301 nt
Filed under: uncultured bacterium
Lineage: Bacteria
Description: partial 16S ribosomal RNA
Rfam family: Bacterial small subunit ribosomal RNA
Source: RNAcentral